CUGGCAACCACAUUGCAGGAGCUCGCCCAUGGAACAGGCCUGCGUGACCGCGUGGCUGGCACCAGCGGCGGUAAUCGCAAACACAAAGGCUGUCUCUCGAAUAUCUGUGGGAGGACAGAGCCCAGGCCAGAGAAAGCACCUCCCUUCAGGCCUCUCCCACACUAACCCUGCUGCAAGACGCGCCCAAAGGCCUUGCUGUGACUGGAGCAGUUCCAGCGUCGGAAACGGAACUGGAACUGACAUUCUCGGACCCCCAGCCUUGCGCCCCGGGCGAGCUCUGCCACCACUUCCGGCUCUGCCUGGCACAGCUCAGCCUGCCGUCCUGCUAGCCGCCUGGCCUUCCUGCAGAUGCUGGUAGGAUCCAUGACCAGGGGGCUACCCACAGCCCUGGGGAGCAGAACAGAAGUCUAGGCUGAAAACUGCAUCAUGACAAAAAUUCAGUCUUAUCCUUCUGUGUGCAUCUUCAUUAAUGACUCCUU
Long non-coding RNA from Phodopus roborovskii (desert hamster), 479 nucleotides. RefSeq lists it as uncharacterized. The record is from RefSeq and is a predicted model, not a curated record. The transcript is spliced from 3 exons. NCBI's taxonomy places the organism in Eukaryota, Metazoa, Chordata, Mammalia, Rodentia, Cricetidae.